This 459-nucleotide ribosomal RNA is filed under the name uncultured bacterium. Its description in RNAcentral is "partial 16S ribosomal RNA". It matches the Rfam family "Bacterial small subunit ribosomal RNA", at positions 338 to 795 of the family's 1533-position model. The record is from RNAcentral.
CCUACGGGAGGCAGCAGUGAGGAAUAUUGGUCAAUGGACGAGAGUCUGAACCAGCCAAGUAGCGUGAAGGAUGACUGCCCUAUGGGUUGUAAACUUCUUUUAUAUGGGAAUAAAAUGUUCCACGUGUGGGAUUUUGUAUGUACCAUAUGAAUAAGGAUCGGCUAACUCCGUGCCAGCAGCCGCGGUAAUACGGAGGAUCCGAGCGUUAUCCGGAUUUAUUGGGUUUAAAGGGAGCGUAGGUGGAUUGUUAAGUCAGUUGUGAAAGUUUGCGGCUCAACCGUAAAAUUGCAGUUAGAACUGGCAGUCUUGAGUACAGUAGAGGUGGGCGGAAGUCGUGGUGUAGCGGUGAAAUGCUUAGAUAUCACGAAGAAAUCCGAUUGCAAGGCAGUUCACUGGACUGCAACUGACACUGAGGCUCGAAAGUGUGGGUAUCAAACAGGAUUAGAUACCCUGGUAGUC